GUACGCUAUUCAGAGUUUGAUCCUGGCUCAGAGUGAACGCUGGCGGUAGGCCUAACACAUGCAAGUCGAACGGCAGCACAGUAAGAGCUUGCUCUUAUGGGUGGCGAGUGGCGGACGGGUGAGGAAUACAUCGGAAUCACCUUUUCGUGGGGGAUAACGUAGGGAAACUUACGCUAAUACCGCAUACGUCCUACGGGAGAAAGCAGGGGACCUUCGGGCCUUGCGCUAUCAGAUGAGCCUAGGUCGGAUUAGCUAGUUGGUGGGGUAAUGGCUCACCAAGGCGACGAUCCGUAACUGGUCUGAGAGGAUGAUCAGUCACACUGGAACUGAGACACGGUCCAG
RNAcentral lists this ribosomal RNA (342 nucleotides) under uncultured bacterium. RNAcentral describes it as "bacterial SSU rRNA". It matches the Rfam family "Bacterial small subunit ribosomal RNA", at positions 1 to 334 of the family's 1533-position model. The record is from RNAcentral.